AAAAUAAAAAGCAGUCGAAGGGACAAAACGAGCGGAAGGGUUCGCUCAGCCCAAGCCCCCGGUUCCUCUCCCUCCUGUGCAGCCGCCGCGACCACCCGCGUCCUCCCCCCGCAGCUGGCGCCCUCACCAUCUCCCCACCACCGACGAGCUCCUCCCCUCUUCCUCGCCCCAGAUCGACCUACCGCCAUUCGUGCAUCUCGCCCUCGUAACCGGCCGCCGCUGCCGUGCCCCCCCCCCCCUCUCGCGCGGUGCUGAGGUGCGGAUGGAGGCUUUGGGCGAGGGCAGCGAGAUGCAGAGAAGCCCUAUGUAUAGGUGACAGGAGGCGAUGGGUGGCGGGUCGAGAAGAAGAGAGAGAGGAGGUGAGGAGGCAGAUGAAAGGGGACAACUAUGAAGUGAUGGUGGAUCAAUCCUAUUCCUCUAUGUGUGUUCUUGCUCCGAAGAUUGAGGUUGGAUAUGAUUCUGCCAUUAAUUUCAAGAUGUUUGCUCAUUCUGGCCCUAAGGAUGGAUGUAAGUGGCUCACAAUAUGUUUGAGGAAAUGCCUAUAUGCAGAGAGAGGGUUGGGGGCGCUUGAGGCGACGGCGGAGGAGCCACUCUUGCCGGCUGCAGCGACUACUCCAAGUGGAGGUGGAGCGAAGCAGCGGGUUCACGCCAGGCCGGGCCCAGGACAAUGACUUUAGGGGUGCCGUGCCCUGCAUAUUUCGUCGGGGAGAAGAUGUGUUCAUUGCUGAAACUGGAUACAAGGGUGCUUCCUUCUUCCAAGAUAUUGACGAAGCCUGGCAGCUAUAGAUUUUCCUCAGCACAAGUGCAAGCAGAUCUUAAUCAAUGUCACUCCAGUUGAUGAUGUUAUGAAGCUUCCUUCAGUAACUGAAUGAGAGAGAUGGAGGCACUGGAGAAGAAAGGGCACAGAUCCUUGGCCAAACCAGUGAAUCCCCCCUACAAUACCCCAUCUAGGCACAAGCGUUCCAAAAGCGAUUUAGAGGAGAAAAAUGCAAGGAUGCAUAGCCUUCUUCGCAGAAAGUUUCUAAUCACCCAAAGCCAAAUGGUAGGAACUCAAACUCUCGUCUGCAGAACGAAACCAACAAGGGAAUCCAUCCCAAGAGUGACACGCAAGACAUCCUAAGAAAAGAGACAGGAAGCAAUUCUUUUUUUUUUCUGUUCUUACUAGCUCACAUGCAGAAGAAAUCAGAGACUGCAUCUUGAAAGAAUUGUUACAACAUUUUCAUUUCUGGAUGCACCCAGCAUUUUGGUCUAAUGGGAUGACGAUGAUCUGAUGUAGAUUGUGCAGCUGGAGAGGCACCUUGACCGUCAGCAAACGGUGCACGGCGCACUGAAGAAAGCCUUGGGUCCUAACUCUGCUCAGUUACUCUAUUCAAUGAGAGGGCAAUCCUCAAGCCAACUAACCAACUGAUAAGGGAGGUUGCCACACUGGAGCUGGAGAUCAAGCACCUGGAGUAGUACCUCAUAACAUUGUACAUGAAAGCAUUUGAGGAAGCACCUACAUUGAGUUCACGGUCUGCGGUGCUCGAGGAAACACCAAAGGCAAAGGCGACUGUCGAAAGAGGUAGUGAUGCAAUGCUCCAUUGCAGCUGCCUCCCCUUAGCAAGAGGAGGAAUGGCACAUGGAGGAUUCCUCUCCGUCCAAAUGCCCAACGAAGGGUCGAUGGUCAUGAAUCAAAGUUAACUUCCUCUCUACUUAUCAUUUAACUGCGACAAAGAAUUUGAGCCAGCACCAAUACAACUGUCUGAUGCUUUGCAAAGUAGGCAUUAAGAAUAGAGGCCUCUUAAGAAUAUGAAAGAGAACUUGCAAUUCCAUUUGUCAAUGUGCAGUGCCAAAGAACACAUUUACAUUUUGCAGGUAGCUGCGACAUCAAAGGAUGGAGGGUACACCUGAUGUAGCGGACUUCGUCGUCUCAUCGACAAGCUCACUCGUGACAGUACACCAGCUGCAGCUCUGGGAGGGACGGUGUGCAUCGGAUGGGACCCGGCACGGCACGCGGCCGAUGAGGAAGAGGACCAGCGGACGGGGCUUGACAAGGUGUCGCUGGCUGCCAUGCUGGUGUCUAGAUUCAGGGCAGAGUGCGUGGCGGCACCAAGAAGGUUGGGGAGGAUUGCGUGAUAUACCUGUGCACCAUGCAGGAUGGAUCCGGCAUGGCGGCCGGGCCGACAAGGAAGAGGACCAGUGAAGGGGUGCUCGACAAGGCGGCGCUGGCACCAAUGCCGGUGCUCAUAUUCAAGGCAGGGGCAAGGCGGAGGCCCGCGAUGGCGCAAAGCUGAAGGGGCGCUUACCCAGCUAGCACCGCCUGAGCUAGGCGGCGCGCCACAGGCGCCCCCCAGCUGCUAGUCACCGUCACGGGCCACAGCCUUGGCGCGUCGCUGGCGACCCUCAACGCAGUCGACAUGGUCUCCCAAGGCGUGAACGUGCCGCCCUCCUCGGCACAGCAGCAGCCUCCGUGCCCAGUGACGGCGAUCCUCUUCGCGAGCCCGCACGUAGGCAACGACAGCUUCAAGUCGGCCUUCGCUUCGUUCCCAGACCUCCGUGCGCUUCAUAUGAGGAACGCCGGCGACGUGGUGCCCCUAUACCCGCCGAUCGGGUACGUGGAUGCGGCGACGGCGGUGCUGCUCGUGGACACUGGCCGGUCGCCAUACCUGAAGCAGCCGGGCACUGUGCAGACGCGCCACAACCUCGAGUGCUACCUGCACGGCGUGGCCGGGUUCCAGGGUGCCGGCGGAGGGUUCAAACUUGAGGUGGACCGCGACGUGGCCCUGGUGAACAAGGGUGUUGACGCGCUCAAGGAUAAGUAUCCAGUGCCGCCCAACUGGCAUGUUAUCAACAACAAGUCCAUGGUGAGGGACUCCGAUGGUCACUGGAAGCUCAGAGACUUCGAGGAGACCUGAUUGAGAAGUGUGUAU
This is a long non-coding RNA of Triticum aestivum (bread wheat), 2909 nucleotides long. RefSeq lists it as uncharacterized. NCBI's taxonomy places the organism in Eukaryota, Viridiplantae, Streptophyta, Magnoliopsida, Poales, Poaceae. The record is from RefSeq and is a predicted model, not a curated record. The transcript is spliced from 10 exons.